Long non-coding RNA from Cynoglossus semilaevis (tongue sole), 282 nucleotides. RefSeq lists it as uncharacterized. The transcript has 4 exons. Lineage: Eukaryota; Metazoa; Chordata; Actinopteri; Pleuronectiformes; Cynoglossidae. The record is from RefSeq and is a predicted model, not a curated record.
GGAAGUUGGCCUUGGAUGCGGACUGCCGGAAGUGCUGCUCGAUGUACUUGGGCUUGUAGGUGACCAUGCCGAUGAGAGAGUUCAGCUGAAUGAUUAUCACACACAGAUGUAAUGGCUGUUUAAUGAAGCUUUUCUGCUCUGGUGGGCACUUCGCUGACUCCUGGGGGCCAGAGUCGGGCAGGGAACGGGCGUUCAACGUUAUUCCAGAUCUGGUGCCACCUGGCUGCUCCACUGUGAACUGUGCACAGAAUUUAACAAGAAAUCCCAUUGGGAUCCAUCGCC